ACGCGAAAGGCCCCUUCGGGGGCCGAGUAGAGUGGCGCACGGGUGAGUAACACGUAGGUAAUCUACCUCUGGGUGGGGAAUAACAGCCGGAAACGGCUGCUAAUACCGCAUAAUGCAGCGGCACCACAUGGUGACAGUUGUUAAAGCGGGGGAUCGCAAGACCUCGCGCCUAGAGAGGAGCCUGCGGCGGAUUAGCUAGUUGGCAGGGUAAUGGCCUACCAAGGCAACGAUCCGUAGCCGGCCUGAGAGGGCGGUCGGCCACAUUGGCACUGACACACGGGCCAGACUCCUACGGGAGGCAGCAGUCGGGAAUUUUGGGCAAUGGGCGAAAGCCUGACCCAGCAACGCCGCGUGAAGGAUGAAGCUUUUCGGAGUGUAAACUUCAUAAGAAUGGGACGAAUAAGGAAGGGCUAAUACCCCUUUUGAUGACGGUACCAUUUGUAAGCUCCGGCUAACUCCGUGCCAGCAGCCGCGGUAAUACGGGGGGAGCAAGCGUUGUUCGGAUUUACUGGGCGUAAAGGGCGCGUAGGCGGCGCAACAAGUCACUUGUGAAAUCUCCGGGCUUAACCCGGAGCGGCCAAGUGAUACUGUCGUGCUAGAGUGCGGAAGGGGCUACUGGAAUUCUCGGUGUAGCGGUGAAAUGCGUAGAUAUCGAGAGGAACACCUGCGGCGAAGGCGGGUAGCUGGGCCGACACUGACGCUGAGGCGCGAAAGCCA
Molecule: ribosomal RNA, 717 nt
Filed under: uncultured bacterium
Lineage: Bacteria
Description: bacterial SSU rRNA
Rfam family: Bacterial small subunit ribosomal RNA
Source: RNAcentral